This is a long non-coding RNA of Xiphophorus couchianus (Monterrey platyfish), 1325 nucleotides long. RefSeq lists it as uncharacterized. The transcript has 3 exons. The record is from RefSeq and is a predicted model, not a curated record. Lineage: Eukaryota; Metazoa; Chordata; Actinopteri; Cyprinodontiformes; Poeciliidae.
ACUGAUGGACUUCAAGAUGCUGAAACAUCUCUCCGUCGAUCUCAAAGAGUGCACACAAAGCCUAACAGAUUAGAUUAUGUAACACUAGGAAAUCCUCUGAUGAUGGUGGUGAAUUCUCUGUUCCAGGGUCUAAGUGAUGCAUUGACUAGCUCCUUGAAUGGUUUUGAGAAUGUAUCCCAUAAUUCCGUCAGGCAUCCUUAAGCUGUGUGACUCCAUGUCACAUUGCAGAUGCCCAGGGACGGGCAUACCCUUCAGAGGGGAGGGUGUAACCCACAUAAAGUGGGUAUGCCACUUUAAGAGAAGAGGUUAAGGAAGCUGGGUGGUCUGCCUGGCCAAUGAGAAGUUUAGUUUCCAGAGCGUCUGGACCAAUCAGGGUGCAGGCUGCCGUUGUGGAUCCCGCCCUUCUCCCCCGGGUCUGCAGUACCGUUGGUUUUGCUCUAGAGAUCCGACGCGGUGAGACUGCUGAGCGGGGCAGCGCCAGAAGCCGUUAGGAAUCGUUGGCUCUUUCUGGCAGUUAUUUCAGCUUGUUCUUCGUAGAUAAAAGUGCCCCACGCAUCCGGAUUGAGACCCACUAUACGGUUGUCUGAAGUGUGUCGCACUGAGAUCGGUGAGCAUAUUCGGAGCCUUUUAUUUGUGUUUUUGUCGUUUGUUACAUUGUUGUUAAAAAAAUAUCCGUUGUUUUAGUAACUAGGUAAUGUUUUGUUACUGUGUUGGAAAGAAGGAUUAAAGCUAGAACGGCUUGGUAAAGUCCUGUAUUUCUGCUGGUCCUGUCUGUUGACAGGUCAGGUUUUUUUUUAUACUGGAUCAUUCCUGAAGAGGAUCCCUCCUUUGAUAUUGAUGGCGAGCCUUCCCACCUGGACCUAAAGAGAGAACCAGAUUUCGUCUAUCCCAUUUGGAGUCAUGCUGCACCCUGCGGUGUGGUAGGAGAGCAACAUACAUCUUCACACACGGUUGUGUGUGAGACCUACAACUGACAUUCUCCAUUAUUAUUGUUUUUUUUUAAUUUAUUGAUCUUUGGACAAUACUUUUUGGAUUGUUUUAUUUCGGACAUUGUGACGCACAGCUGUGGUGGAAAUUCUCCUGUGAAUGAAGUUGAAUCAAACCAAAUUGGGAUUAAUUUGAUUAAUCUGCUGACUAAUACAAUUUGGAGUGCAGAUUACCAGGGUGCACCCGAAUUAUUUGAAAUUAAGAAUUAGCACUUGGCCAAGUAUUAUUGUUAUUUCUUUUUUUUAUUUUAUUGUGUGUAAUUUUAUUUUCAUAAUUGUGUGUUUUGUGCAACUGUUAAUUGUGUGUUUUCUGUCACUAAAACCAGUUCUUUAAAUACA